UGGCCAGCAGCUUGCCGAGGCCGAAGCCGUCGACGCCCGCGUUGUUGGAGAUGGCCGUGAGGUUCUUGACCCCGCUGGCCUGC
This 83-nucleotide transfer RNA is filed under the name Sphaerotilus microaerophilus. Its description in RNAcentral is "Sphaerotilus sp. FB-5 tRNA-Ala". Lineage: Bacteria; Pseudomonadati; Pseudomonadota; Betaproteobacteria; Burkholderiales; Sphaerotilaceae. The record is from RNAcentral.